RNAcentral lists this ribosomal RNA (253 nucleotides) under uncultured bacterium. RNAcentral's name for it is "partial 16S ribosomal RNA". It matches the Rfam family "Bacterial small subunit ribosomal RNA", at positions 524 to 776 of the family's 1533-position model. The record is from RNAcentral.
UACAGAGGUCUCAAGCGUUGUUCGGAUUCAUUGGGCGUAAAGCGCGUGUAGGCGGUCCGGUAAGUCCGCUGUGAAAGUCGAGGGCUCAACCCUCGAAUGCCGGUGGAUACUGUCGGGCUUGAGUACGGGAGAGGCGAGUGGAAUUCCUGGUGUAGCGGUGAAAUGCGCAGAUAUCAGGAGGAACACCGAUUGCGAAGGCAGCUCGCUGGAACGUUACUGACGCUGAGACGCGAAAGCGUGGGGAGCAAACAGG